Molecule: unclassified non-coding RNA, 216 nt
Filed under: uncultured fungus
Lineage: Eukaryota; Fungi
Description: sequence contains ITS1
Source: RNAcentral
UUAACUAUUCGUUAUUUGAACUCAGAAUUUCACGAUUAUUCAAGAAUUUAAAGGGGGGGCUACUGACAGGCACUCUCCAGAGGUCCGAACAACCUCCGGCAGUCUGGUUAAAGACAGACCUGCCAAAGCAACAAAGUAGUAUAUACACAGGGUUGGAGAUCGGGCCCAGAAGACCCUAACUCGGUAAUGAUCCUUCCGCAGGUUCACCUACGGAAA